RNAcentral lists this ribosomal RNA (877 nucleotides) under uncultured eukaryote. RNAcentral describes it as "SSU rRNA". It matches the Rfam family "Eukaryotic small subunit ribosomal RNA", at positions 636 to 1469 of the family's 1831-position model. The record is from RNAcentral.
CGGUGUUCAACUGGCGUGUCCGCGGGACGUCCUCCCGGUGGGCUUAGCCCGCAAGGGCGGCCCAACUUCAAAUCCCAUCGCGGUGCUCUUCACUGAGUGUCGAGGUGGGCCGGCACGUUUACUUUGAACAAAUUAGAGUGCUUAAAGCAGGCUAAAACUUCGCCUGAAUACUGUGUGCAUGGAAUAAUGGAAUAGGACCUCGGUUCUAUUUUGUUGGUUUUCGGAACCCCGAGGUAAUGAUUAAUAGGAACGGAUGGGGGCAUUCGUAUUGCGACGUUAGAGGUGAAAUUCUUGGAUCGUCGCAAGACGGACAGAAGCGAAAGCAUUUGCCAAAAACGCUUUCAUUGAUCAAGAACGAAAGUUAGAGGUUUGAAGGCGAUCAGAUACCGCCCUAGUUCUAACCAUAAACGAUGCCAGCUAGCGAUCCGUCGACGUUCCUCCGAUGACUCGACGGGCAGCUUCCGGGAAACCAAAGCUUUUGGGUUCCGGGGGAAGUAUGGUUGCAAAGCUGAAACUUAAAGGAAUUGACGGAAGGGCACCACCAGGAGUGGAGCCUGCGGCUUAAUUUGACUCAACACGGGAAACCUCACCAGGCCCGGACACCUGAAGGAUUGACAGAUUGAGAGCUCUUUCUUGAUUCGGUGGGUGGUGGUGCAUGGCCGUUCUUAGUUGGUGGAGCGAUUUGUCUGGUUAAUUCCGAUAACGAACGAGACUCUAGCCUGCUAACUAGGCGUAUUUUCGACAUCUCAAAGGUCCGUCGUCCCGGCCCUCGGGUCGUGGGCGUGCGCGAUUUUUACUGUCGGCGUACUAUCAAUUCUUCUUAGAGGGACAGGUGGCUUCUAGCCGCACGAGAUUGAGCAAUAACAGGUCUGUGAUG